Molecule: ribosomal RNA, 253 nt
Filed under: uncultured bacterium
Lineage: Bacteria
Description: partial 16S ribosomal RNA
Rfam family: Bacterial small subunit ribosomal RNA
Source: RNAcentral
UACGUAGGUGGCAAGCGUUAUCCGGAUUUACUGGGUGUAAAGGGCGUGUAGGCGGGAGUGCAAGUCAGAUGUGAAAACUAUGGGCUCAACCCAUAGCCUGCAUUUGAAACUGUACUUCUUGAGUGCAGAAGAGGAGAGUGGAACUCCAUGUGUAGCGGUGAAAUGCGUAGAUAUAUGGAAGAACACCAGUGGCGAAAGCGGCUCUCUGGUCUGUAACUGACGCUGAGGUUCGAAAGCGUGGGUAGCAAACAGG